UACAGAGGUCUCAAGCGUUGUUCGGAUUCAUUGGGCGUAAAGGGUGCGUAGGUGGUGGGGUAAGUCGGAUGUGAAAUCCCGGGGCUCAACCCCGGAACUGCAUUCGAUACUGCCUUGCUCGAGUACUGGAGAGGAGACUGGAAUUUACGGUGUAGCAGUGAAAUGCGUAGAUAUCGUAAGGAAGACCAGUGGCGAAGGCGGGUCUCUGGACAGUUCCUGACGCUGAGGCACGAAGGUCAGGGGAGCAAACGGGA
This 254-nucleotide ribosomal RNA is filed under the name uncultured prokaryote. RNAcentral describes it as "partial 16S ribosomal RNA". It matches the Rfam family "Bacterial small subunit ribosomal RNA", at positions 524 to 777 of the family's 1533-position model. The record is from RNAcentral.